AACGCUAGCUACAGGCUUAACACAUGCAAGUCGAGGGGCAGCAUAGAAGUGGCAAUACUUUGGUGGCGACCGGCGCACGGGUGAGUAACGCGUAUGCAACCUACCUAUCAGAGGGGAAUAACCCGGCGAAAGUCGGACUAAUACCGCAUAAAACAGGGGCACCGCAUGGUGAUAUUUGUUAAAGAAAUUCGCUGAUAGAUGGGCAUGCGUUCCAUUAGGUAGUUGGUGAGGUAACGGCUCACCAAGCCGACGAUGGAUAGGGGAACUGAGAGGUUGGUCCCCCACACUGGUACUGAGACACGGACCAGACUCCUACGGGAGGCAGCAGUGAGGAAUAUUGGUCAAUGGGCGGGAGCCUGAACCAGCCAAGUCGCGUGAAGGAAGAAGGAUCUAUGGUUCGUAAACUUCUUUUGCAGGGGAAUAAAGUGCAGGACGUGUCCUGUUUUGUAUGUACCCUGAGAAUAAGGAUCGGCUAACUCCGUGCCAGCAGCCGCGGUAAUACGGAGGAUCCGAGCGUUAUCCGGAUUUAUUGGGUUUAAAGGGUGCGUAGGUGGUUUGAUAAGUCAGCGGUGAAAGUUUGCAGCUUAACUGUAAAAAUGCCGUUGAAACUGUCGGACUUGAGUGUAAAUGAGGUAGGCGGAAUGCGUGGUGUAGCGGUGAAAUGCAUAGAUAUCACGAAGAACUCCGAUUG
This 691-nucleotide ribosomal RNA is filed under the name uncultured bacterium. Its description in RNAcentral is "bacterial SSU rRNA". It matches the Rfam family "Bacterial small subunit ribosomal RNA", at positions 32 to 715 of the family's 1533-position model. The record is from RNAcentral.